RNAcentral lists this ribosomal RNA (459 nucleotides) under uncultured bacterium. RNAcentral describes it as "partial 16S ribosomal RNA". It matches the Rfam family "Bacterial small subunit ribosomal RNA", at positions 61 to 795 of the family's 1533-position model. The record is from RNAcentral.
CCUCCUUUCUUCCUCCUUUCUGCCUCUUGGUCCAUGGUCGGGCGCCUGCACCAGCCAAGCCGCGUGAGGGAUGAAGGUACAGAGUAUCGUAAACCUCUUUUGUCAGGGAACAAAGGCGGGGACGUGUCCCCGGAUGAGUGUACCUGAAGAAAAAGCCUCGGCUAAGUCCGUGCCAGCGGCCGCGGUAAUACGGAGGAUGCGGGCGUUAUCCGGAUUUAUUGGGUUUAAAGGGUGCGACGACGGUCGGUUACGUCAGCGGUCAAAGCCCGGGGCUCAACCCCGGCCCGCCGUUGAAACUGGCAGUCGCGAGUUGGAGAGAAGUAUGCGGAAUGCGCGGUGUAGCGGUGAAAUGCAUAGAUAUCGCGCAGAACUCCGAUUGCGAAGGCAGCAUGCCGGCUCCACACUGACGCUGAGGCACGAAAGCGUGGGUAUCGAACAGGAUUAGAUACCCCAGUAGUC